Molecule: transfer RNA, 77 nt
Filed under: Mesocricetus auratus (golden hamster)
Lineage: Eukaryota; Metazoa; Chordata; Mammalia; Rodentia; Cricetidae
Rfam family: tRNA
About the family: Transfer RNA (tRNA) molecules are approximately 80 nucleotides in length. Their secondary structure includes four short double-helical elements and three loops (D, anti-codon, and T loops).
Source: Rfam by way of RNAcentral
GGGAGUGUAGUUUAGUUGGUAGAGUGCUUGCUUGCCCAGCAUGCAUGAAGCCCUGGGUUCAAUGCCCAGCACAGCUU